UGGGGAAUUUUGGACAAUGGGCGCAAGCCUGAUCCAGCCAUGCCGCGUGCAGGAUGAAGGCCUUCGGGUUGUAAACUGCUUUUGUACGGAACGAAAAGGUGCCUUCUAAUAAAGGGCGCUCAUGACGGUACCGUAAGAAUAAGCACCGGCUAACUACGUGCCAGCAGCCGCGGUAAUACGUAGGGUGCGAGCGUUAAUCGGAAUUACUGGGCGUAAAGCGUGCGCAGGCGGUUUUGUAAGACAGAGGUGAAAUCCCCGGGCUCAACCUGGGAACUGCCUUUGUGACUGCAAGGCUGGAGUGCGGCAGAGGGAGAUGGAAUUCCGCGUGUAGCAGUGAAAUGCGUAGAUAUGCGGAGGAACACCGAUGGCGAAGGCAAUCCCCUGGGCCUGCACUGACGCUCAUGCACGAAAGCGUGGGGAGCAAACA
RNAcentral lists this ribosomal RNA (427 nucleotides) under uncultured bacterium. RNAcentral describes it as "bacterial SSU rRNA". It matches the Rfam family "Bacterial small subunit ribosomal RNA", at positions 355 to 774 of the family's 1533-position model. The record is from RNAcentral.